ACAAAAACAAAACAUAUAUUUCCAUGCCAACGUUGGACUAUUCAUCUUAUAUGAAAUUUUUUUAUAAUUAGUAUUUUCAUUGUUGUUAGAUGAUAAAAUAUGAUUAAUACUUUAUGCGUGACUUAUCUUUUUUAAUUUUUUCAUAGUUUUUUCAAAUAAGACGGACGGUCAAACAUUGGACACGGAUUUCCACUGCUGCACUUAUU
Non-coding RNA from Oryza glaberrima (African rice), 206 nucleotides. NCBI's taxonomy places the organism in Eukaryota, Viridiplantae, Streptophyta, Magnoliopsida, Poales, Poaceae. The record is from Rfam.